This 1092-nucleotide ribosomal RNA is filed under the name Bacillus stratosphericus. Its description in RNAcentral is "bacterial SSU rRNA". It matches the Rfam family "Bacterial small subunit ribosomal RNA", at positions 21 to 1096 of the family's 1533-position model. The record is from RNAcentral. Lineage: Bacteria; Bacillati; Bacillota; Bacilli; Caryophanales; Bacillaceae.
GCCUAUACAUGCAAGCGGGCGGCGUGCCUAUACAUGCAAGUCGAGCGGACAGAAGGGAGCUUGCUCCCGGAUGUUAGCGGCGGACGGGUGAGUAACACGUGGGUAACCUGCCUGUAAGACUGGGAUAACUCCGGGAAACCGGAGCUAAUACCGGAUAGUUCCUUGAACCGCAUGGUUCAAGGAUGAAAGACGGUUUCGGCUGUCACUUACAGAUGGACCCGCGGCGCAUUAGCUAGUUGGUGAGGUAACGGCUCACCAAGGCGACGAUGCGUAGCCGACCUGAGAGGGUGAUCGGCCACACUGGGACUGAGACACGGCCCAGACUCCUACGGGAGGCAGCAGUAGGGAAUCUUCCGCAAUGGACGAAAGUCUGACGGAGCAACGCCGCGUGAGUGAUGAAGGUUUUCGGAUCGUAAAGCUCUGUUGUUAGGGAAGAACAAGUGCAAGAGUAACUGCUUGCACCUUGACGGUACCUAACCAGAAAGCCACGGCUAACUACGUGCCAGCAGCCGCGGUAAUACGUAGGUGGCAAGCGUUGUCCGGAAUUAUUGGGCGUAAAGGGCUCGCAGGCGGUUUCUUAAGUCUGAUGUGAAAGCCCCCGGCUCAACCGGGGAGGGUCAUUGGAAACUGGGAAACUUGAGUGCAGAAGAGGAGAGUGGAAUUCCACGUGUAGCGGUGAAAUGCGUAGAGAUGUGGAGGAACACCAGUGGCGAAGGCGACUCUCUGGUCUGUAACUGACGCUGAGGAGCGAAAGCGUGGGGAGCGAACAGGAUUAGAUACCCUGGUAGUCCACGCCGUAAACGAUGAGUGCUAAGUGUUAGGGGGUUUCCGCCCCUUAGUGCUGCAGCUAACGCAUUAAGCACUCCGCCUGGGGAGUACGGUCGCAAGACUGAAACUCAAAGGAAUUGACGGGGGCCCGCACAAGCGGUGGAGCAUGUGGUUUAAUUCGAAGCAACGCGAAGAACCUUACCAGGUCUUGACAUCCUCUGACAACCCUAGAGAUAGGGCUUUCCCUUCGGGGACAGAGUGACAGGUGGUGCAUGGUUGUCGUCAGCUCGUGUCGUGAGAUGUUGGGUUAAGAGUCGUAACAAG